This 443-nucleotide ribosomal RNA is filed under the name uncultured bacterium. RNAcentral describes it as "bacterial SSU rRNA". It matches the Rfam family "Bacterial small subunit ribosomal RNA", at positions 354 to 796 of the family's 1533-position model. The record is from RNAcentral.
GUGGGGAAUCUUGCGCAAUGGCCGCAAGGCUGACGCAGCGACGCCGCGUGUGGGAUGACGGCCUUCGGGUUGUAAACCACUGUCGGGAGGAACGAAUACGCGACGUGAGUCGCGGGUGACGGUACCUCCAAAGGAAGCACCGGCUAACUCCGUGCCAGCAGCCGCGGUAAUACGGAGGGUGCGAGCGUUGUCCGGAAUCACUGGGCGUAAAGGGCGCGUAGGCGGCCCGUUAAGUCACUGGUGAAAUCCCGCUGCUCAACGGCGGGGCUGCCGGUGAGACUGGCGAGCUAGAGCACGGUAGGGGCAGAUGGAAUUCCCGGUGUAGCGGUGGAAUGCGUAGAGAUCGGGAAGAAUACCAGUGGCGAAGGCGUUCUGCUGGGCCGUUGCUGACGCUGAGGCGCGACAGCGUGGGGAGCAAACAGGAUUAGAAACCCUAGUAGUCC